GCAGGCAUUUGCAGAUGAGCUUGGUAUCCCUUUCCUCGAGACAAGUGCUAAAGACUCUAUCAAUGUGGAGCAGGCUUUCUUAACCAUGGCUGGCGAGAUUAAGAAAAAAAUGGGUAGUCAACCAAGUGCUUCCAAGGCAAGUGGAAGUGUUCAGAUGAAGGGGGAGCCAAUUCAGCAAAAGAGCAACUGCUGUGGUUAGCCAUUGAUAUUCGCUAUAUCAAUGUGUCCUGUUAAAAAAAAAUGUAAAACAGUGAACUAUGUUGACUGUGAUGUUUAUGGAUCUUUAAAGAACUGUUGAAGUGAUAAAUAUUGCCUGCUUGGAUAGUCA
Molecule: long non-coding RNA, 328 nt
Organism: Morus notabilis
Lineage: Eukaryota; Viridiplantae; Streptophyta; Magnoliopsida; Rosales; Moraceae
Exons: 2
Source: RefSeq, a predicted model, not a curated record